This 83-nucleotide ribosomal RNA is filed under the name Escherichia coli. Its description in RNAcentral is "partial 16S ribosomal RNA". It matches the Rfam family "Bacterial small subunit ribosomal RNA", at positions 1451 to 1533 of the family's 1533-position model. Lineage: Bacteria; Pseudomonadati; Pseudomonadota; Gammaproteobacteria; Enterobacterales; Enterobacteriaceae. The record is from RNAcentral.
CGCUUACCACUUUGUGAUUCAUGACUGGGGUGAAGUCGUAACAAGGUAACCGUACGGGAACCUGCGGUUGGAUCACCUCCUGA